Symphalangus syndactylus (siamang) is the source of this 372-nucleotide long non-coding RNA. RefSeq lists it as uncharacterized. The record is from RefSeq and is a predicted model, not a curated record. NCBI's taxonomy places the organism in Eukaryota, Metazoa, Chordata, Mammalia, Primates, Hylobatidae.
CUUCCAUCCUCAAGAUUAUUUUAAGAUUCAAGACAGCUACUGGAGCUCCAGCAAUUUUAUCCCAUUCCAGGCUUGGGAAGGAAGAUGAAGAAAUUGCUUCUUUCUUUUGAAGAAAACAACUCAAAAGACAACUGCUGUUUACAUCUCACUGGCUAGAACUUGAUCACAUGACUGAAUACAACUGCAAGGGGACCUGGGAAAGAUUAUUGUCUCAGCUAUGCACAUUGUCCAGGGUUCUGUUUUUAAGGAAUAAUAAGUGGAUUGAUGAACACUGGAAGUCACCUAGCAGUCUUUACCACAAAUGGUUCCAACCAGAGAAGGAAGCCAAUUGAACUCCUGGGAUAUAUUAAUUACAUGUUUUAUUCGACCAUG